Molecule: transfer-messenger RNA, 349 nt
Filed under: human gut metagenome
Rfam family: transfer-messenger RNA
About the family: Bacterial tmRNA, also known as 10Sa RNA or SsrA, is named for its dual tRNA and mRNA-like properties.
Source: RNAcentral
GGGGAUGCUCCGGUUUCGACAGGGAUGUGGACAUCAGAGAAGCGGGUUGUCAGGCUGUUGACAUUAAAAAAAGCAAACAAAAUAAAGGCUAACGAAUCUAAUUUAGCUUACGCUGCUUAACAAAAAGCGGCCGACCCUCUGAAUGGACCCGUAACGUUCGGACUGGUCUCAAUCAUUUCGGGAAACUUCCUGCGCUAAGCUUUGCCCGCAGGUUGGACUUGAUGAAGCUACCGAGAAGGUUUGCCUGUUUAUCGGCUGGCCGUCUCGGGAAAAAAUUUCGAUAAACUACGCCCGUAGAAACUCUUUUUGAAGCAUUUUUGGACAAGGGUUCGACUCCCUUCAUCUCCAU